Long non-coding RNA from Prunus persica (peach), 2159 nucleotides. RefSeq lists it as uncharacterized. Lineage: Eukaryota; Viridiplantae; Streptophyta; Magnoliopsida; Rosales; Rosaceae. The transcript is spliced from 7 exons. The record is from RefSeq and is a predicted model, not a curated record.
UAUUCUUUCUUAUCUCUCUUCUAUCUCAUCUCUUGCGUCCCCCUCUCUCCAUGGUCUUGUUCUUCCCACCUCGUCGCCUUGCCUUCGCCACGGCCAUAUAGACAGAGAGACUUUGUCUCUCGCGUCUCUCUCUCUCCAUGCUCUCUCUCUCUCUCUCUCUCUCUCUCUCUCUUCUCUUCUCUUCUAGUUCAGUCAACAAAGGUCAGGAAAAUAAUUUUAGGGUUACCAAUUUGGGUUGUAAUCUAACCAUUUGGGUGUUGGCUUGCGGUCGCUCUACCUAGAUCAACAAAGUGCUUAGCUUUUCCAUCUCUCUUGCCCUCUAUGGCUAUUGCGAAAACUCUGAAGCUUUGAUAGGUAAGAACUCCGGAGUGCUUUUCUUUCAUAAGAACUCUGGCCAGUCCCCUUUCUCAGUCUCAGGCCCCUUUCUUUCAUAAGAACUCUGUGGCUCACGAAUUUGAAGUUACUACCUUGCUGAGAAGAAAAUUCCUUCUAUCCAUGGACAUACAAUGGGAGUAAAACUACAGCAGUUCAUAUUUGAUGCGUCUUCAUAGGCACCUUCAACUGCACUUUUUGAGAGAUUGUUGUGUAAUUUUUAGCCUAAAAGAACAAACCAAAAAGUAAAGUGGCUGCAGAGAUAGUUGUUUCACGAGCCACGCCGCUCGAGUUUAUUGCUUUGCUCCUCCUGCGCCUUCAAACCCUUCACUUGAGUUGAGAGUUGAGGUCUUUAGCCCAACCUUUAGACUUGGCCCCCCAAACUGACAAGUAUUUGCAGCCUUUGAGUUGAGAGUUGAUAUCACUCUUGCUUUGCAUUCAAACUGAGGCUGUAGAAGUGCGCAGGCAUCCACCACCGGGCCACUCCUAGCUUCCGCACCACCAAGAAACGUAGGAUUUUAUUGUAAAAGUUCUUGAAAUCUUGUAAAUUAGUAGAAAAUGCUCUGAUAUCUCGUUUUAGUGGGAAACUUGAUCUGGUGAUUGCUUGGUUAUUUUAUUCUGGCAGUUGGUGGAAAAUUAUUUGCUUGUUUAACAGGUGGAAGAUUUUGGGUUUAGACAAAAUACAGGGGAGGUUUUGCCGAAUUUUCGGCAGGAGUCUAAGGGAAGUUUUAUUAGUAAUUGUAACAGGAAUGGUAAAAAGGUCAUUUGUGCCCGACAUUCGCCAGGUGUCGGACACGCACAGGACUUGGUUCGAAUUCCAAAGUGGAAUUGGGAUCGGGUCCUGUCAAAAAUGCCAUCUAAGAGGUUUAUCUAAUUACUUAGAAACAAAAUAAUGUCAAAAAAAUGAAUCGGUUGCCUUGUGAUGGAUUUAUUUCAUAUUCUACUACAUUGGCAAAAAUCAUUGGAUGUUGGCUAUUGUUAAUGUGGACAACGAGACCAUUUAUUUCAUGGAUCCUCUAAAUAGGAUCAUGAUUGAGGAGGAAUGGAAACAAGUUGUAAACAAGGCCAUUGAAGUGUUGAAUGUGAAAAGGAAUAGGAAAGGAAGAAAAACACUGCAGUGGAUUAUUUUGAUGGUUAAGACAGCAAGAGAUCACAUUUGAUGCAAUCCAUGCUUGAUAAGGGCUGAUUGGGAUAAGAGGAAUAUGAGCUUAAAGACAAACCAAUUUGGGCCACACUCCUUGUCAGUCCAGUUUGGUAAGUCAUCUUGCAGGCCUCAUUUCAACAGCUUACACAGGUCGGAUGAGGAGACAUCCUUGAUAGAAGUUGUUCCAAUGGGUAUCUAUUAGAACAUACCCAAAUGUCAACCCAAUUGGAUAAAUAUGGAGCCCUCAACACGUGAACGACUCAACCAAGUUCACAGAAAAGUCAUAGUUGGCUCCCAUCACAUUUAAUGUGGCUACAUCCCUAGAGCCAUGUGCUACACAUAAGAGCAGCUCCACAUGGGACACAAAUUAGCUUGGGAACUCAGAAAGAUGAACAAAAGUCAAACUUGCCAUAAAGAGACUAAGAAUAGUCCACAAAAGUCAUUUAUUAGGCAGUUGAGGUAGAUGAUGGCAGCAAGGUAGUUCCCAGGACAGCUCUAAGCUCUCCCUCCUUUGCAACUAGCUCUCUUCUCUCUUUGUGGUGGAGGAUGGAAUCUGAAUGUGUGUAUGAGUAAUACAUGAAAUGAAUGUCUCUCCCUUUGAAUGAGAGUGCAGCUCUCUAUUUAUAGAGUGCCAAAUUCGUCC